AAGCGACAGGACGGGGCAGCCCGGGGCUCUGGGCCAAGGGGAGCGCAGGCACCGCGCGAGCGAAGGGACCCACGGAAAGGGGAGUCAGCGCUCUCAGAGCGCAGGGCCGUGAGCCCCGCGUUUGCGGGACCGCAGAAAAAUGACCAUGCAAUGGGGCAAUCCCUUCAACUGUUCACUGAACCAAGCCACACACCGCGCCAGCGUCCUGGUGCAGAGGUAAGAGAGUCACCGCCCCUGCCUUCCCGCAGCGUCGGGAGAAGACCGCUCUGAACAGUUUCCUAAGACGCUUCUCCCCGAAAUUUCUACUCAUCCAUCAAGACCAUCU
Lemur catta (Ring-tailed lemur) is the source of this 325-nucleotide long non-coding RNA. RefSeq lists it as uncharacterized. The transcript is spliced from 3 exons. NCBI's taxonomy places the organism in Eukaryota, Metazoa, Chordata, Mammalia, Primates, Lemuridae. The record is from RefSeq and is a predicted model, not a curated record.